This 850-nucleotide ribosomal RNA is filed under the name uncultured bacterium. RNAcentral's name for it is "bacterial SSU rRNA". It matches the Rfam family "Bacterial small subunit ribosomal RNA", at positions 24 to 883 of the family's 1533-position model. The record is from RNAcentral.
UCAGGAUGAACGCUGGCGGCGUGCCUAAUACAUGCAAGUCGAACGAGGUGCUUUUGUAGCAAUACGAGAGUAUCCUAGUGGCGAACGGGUGAGUAACGCGUUGGUGACCUACCCCAAAGUGUGGGAUAACAGUCCGAAAGGAUUGCUAAUACCGCAUGUGGUUAUUGGAUCUAGAAACUGAUAACUAAAGGAGCAAUUCGCUUUGGGAGGGACCUGCGUCCCAUCAGCUAGUUGGUGAGGUAACGGCCCACCAAGGCUACGACGGGUAGGGGACCUGAGAGGGUGGCCCCCCACAAUGGAACUGAAACACGGUCCAUACACCUACGGGUGGCAGCAGUGGGGAAUAUUGCACAAUGGGCGAAAGCCUGAUGCAGCAACGCCGCGUGUGCGAUGAAGGCCUUCGGGUCGUAAAGCACUUUUCUGAGAGAUGAGAAAGGACAGUAUCUCAGGAAUAAGUCUCGGCUAACUACGUGCCAGCAGCCGCGGUAACACGUAGGAGGCGAGCGUUAUCCGGAUUCACUGGGCGUAAAGCGCGUGCAGGCGGUUUGGUAAGUUGAUCGUGAAAGCUCCCGGCUCAACUGGGAGAGGUCGGUCAAUACUACCGAACUAGAGAGUAGAAGAGGAAGAUGGAAUUCCCGGUGUAGUGGUGAAAUGCGUAGAUAUCGGGAGGAACACCAGUGGCGAAGGCGAUCUUCUGGUCUAUUUCUGACGCUCAGACGCGACAGCUAGGGUAGUAAACGGGAUUAGAGACCCCGGUAAUCCUAGCCGUAAACGAUGUGAACUUGGCGUCGGUGGCUUAAACACCAUCGGUGCCGAAGCAAACGCGAUAAGUUCACCGCCUGGGGACUAC